Mercenaria mercenaria is the source of this 198-nucleotide long non-coding RNA. RefSeq lists it as uncharacterized. The transcript is spliced from 4 exons. Lineage: Eukaryota; Metazoa; Mollusca; Bivalvia; Venerida; Veneridae. The record is from RefSeq and is a predicted model, not a curated record.
CUUUCUAGAUGGAUGACACUUCCGCUAAAGGGAUGAUUCGGCAAAUGAUUAUAGAUCUGUUGAGAGUACCUUCCGUUGCAGAGGUUAUGCUACAAAUGCUGGAUAUGGGUUUUGAUGAGAGGAGGAGUGAGCCUUCCGUUGAAGUGAUGAUACGAGACGUGGAAUUAGAUAUGAUGAAUGAAAAACGGAUGCUUACGG